RNAcentral lists this ribosomal RNA (278 nucleotides) under uncultured bacterium. RNAcentral describes it as "partial 16S ribosomal RNA". It matches the Rfam family "Bacterial small subunit ribosomal RNA", at positions 506 to 784 of the family's 1533-position model. The record is from RNAcentral.
UGCCAGCAGCCGCGGUAAUGCGGAGGGUGCAAGCGUUAUCCGGAUUUAUUAGGUUUAAAGGGUGCGUAGGCGGUCUUUCAAGUCAGGAGUUAAAGGCUACGGCUCAACCGUAGUAAGCUCCUGAUACUGUCUGACUUGAGUGCAGGAGAGGAAAGCGGAAUUCCCAGUGUAGCGGUGAAAUGCGUAGAUAUUGGGAGGAACACCAGUAGCGAAGGCGGCUUUCUGGACUGUAACUGACGCUGAGGCACGAAAGCGUGGGGAGCAAACAGGAUUAGAUA